This 1482-nucleotide ribosomal RNA is filed under the name Parasteatoda tepidariorum (common house spider). RNAcentral's name for it is "bacterial LSU rRNA". It matches the Rfam family "Bacterial large subunit ribosomal RNA", at positions 1466 to 2925 of the family's 2925-position model. Lineage: Eukaryota; Metazoa; Arthropoda; Arachnida; Araneae; Theridiidae. The record is from RNAcentral.
GGAGGGACGGAGAAGGCUAGGCCAGCUUGGCGUUGGUUGUCCACGUUUCCGCUGGUUGGCUUUCUUCUUAUGUCCCUCCGGGAUUCUACGCCCUCUUUCUUCUCACGAGUCAUCUGUUUGGUGACGAAGUGGUUGAUGCCAUGCUUCCAAGAAAAGCUUCUAAGCUUCAGGUAACCAGGAACCGUACCCCAAACCGACACAGGUGGUUGGGUAGAGAAUACCAAGGCGCUUGAGAGAACUCGGGUGAAGGAACUAGGCAAAAUGGCACCGUAACUUCGGGAGAAGGUGCGCCGGUGAGGGUGAAGGACUUGCUCCGUAAGCUCAUGCCGGUCGAAGAUACCAGGCCGCUGCGACUGUUUAUUAAAAACACAGCACUCUGCAAACACGAAAGUGGACGUAUAGGGUGUGACGCCUGCCCGGUGCCGGAAGGUUAAUUGAUGGGGUUAGCUAACGCGAAGCUCUUGAUCGAAGCCCCGGUAAACGGCGGCCGUAACAAUAACGGUCCUAAGGUAGCGAAAUUCCUUGUCGGGUAAGUUCCGACCUGCACGAAUGGCGUAACGAUGGCGGCGCUGUCUCCACCCGAGACUCAGUGAAAUUGAAAUCGCUGUGAAGAUGCAGUGUAUCCGCGGCUAGACGGAAAGACCCCGUGAACCUUUACUAUAGCUUUGCACUGGACUUUGAAUUUGCUUGUGUAGGAUAGGUGGGAGGCUUUGAAGCGUGGACGCCAGUUCGCGUGGAGCCAACCUUGAAAUACCACCCUGGCAACUUUGAGGUUCUAACUCAGGUCCGUUAUCCGGAUCGAGGACAGUGUAUGGUGGGUAGUUUGACUGGGGCGGUCUCCUCCUAAAGAGUAACGGAGGAGUACGAAGGUGCGCUCAGACCGGUCGGAAAUCGGUCGUAGAGUAUAAAGGCAAAAGCGCGCUUGACUGCGAGACAGACACGUCGAGCAGGUACGAAAGUAGGUCUUAGUGAUCCGGUGGUUCUGUAUGGAAGGGCCAUCGCUCAACGGAUAAAAGGUACUCCGGGGAUAACAGGCUGAUACCGCCCAAGAGUUCAUAUCGACGGCGGUGUUUGGCACCUCGAUGUCGGCUCAUCACAUCCUGGGGCUGAAGCCGGUCCCAAGGGUAUGGCUGUUCGCCAUUUAAAGUGGUACGCGAGCUGGGUUUAGAACGUCGUGAGACAGUUCGGUCCCUAUCUGCCGUGGACGUUUGAGAUUUGAGAGGGGCUGCUCCUAGUACGAGAGGACCGGAGUGGACGAACCUCUGGUGUUCCGGUUGUCACGCCAGUGGCAUUGCCGGGUAGCUAUGUUCGGAAUAGAUAACCGCUGAAAGCAUCUAAGCGGGAAACUAGCCUCAAGAUGAGAUCUCACUGGAACCUUGAGUUCCCUGAAGGGCCGUCGAAGACUACGACGUUGAUAGGUUGGGUGUGUAAGCGCUGUGAGGCGUUGAGCUAACCAAUACUAAUUGCCCGUGAGGCUUGACC